RNAcentral lists this long non-coding RNA (1068 nucleotides) under Oryctolagus cuniculus (rabbit). Its description in RNAcentral is "lncRNA (ENSOCUG00000032152.1)". Lineage: Eukaryota; Metazoa; Chordata; Mammalia; Lagomorpha; Leporidae. The record is from RNAcentral.
AUGCCAGCAGAGGAAAACAGGCUGGCAAAGCCACGAUACCAUACAGGCGGCGCUGAAGACGCCAGGGUUGUACAGGCGAGGUCAAUGGACAGAGUGGCUCCCCGGCCACACCCUAGGGUGCUGGGGAGACUGGAGAUGCCCCACACCAGGAGCUCCCAUUUGAGGUUCUGCCUCUUGGUUGAAUCCAGAGGACCCCAGCCUCCUCCAGCCACAGUUCAAGCAAGUGGCCUGGCCCAGAGUUUGGGAGCAUCAGGUGGGAGGCAAAGAUGUCCAUGUGAUGGACACCAGGGACGGACCUCCAGCGAGGGCUCUCCAGAGCCCCCGACCCACUUUCCCUCCCCCAGAGCACAAGCCCAGGUUUGUGGGCACCCUGAUGGAGCCGAGGAUUGGAUGCAGUGGUCGGAGCCCGGGGGAGACUCCAGGAGGCAAGGAGCAUGCGUCCAUGGGGACUUGCAGCAGGUGGACACGGCCAUCUGCAUUCAGCCUGCUCCUGCAGGGUCUGGGCUGCCUCGGGCUGAGUCCUCACCCCCCAGGUGGCUGGUUCACCAUGAGCCUCAGCUGCCCCCCACUGCAAUGUCCCUCCAGGUUCCUGGGCUGGGGCGGGGGUGCUGUCAGGUCCCAGAGGGCAGCUGUCCCAUGGAGAGGGCCACAGCCUCACCCUCCAGCAAAGCUACCACGUCUUUGGCAUUGGCUCCUGAGACGCCAGACCUAGCGGGUGCAGUCUACCUGCCCCAGCCCCGUCCGGCGAGGCUGAGCCGUGAGCCGUGUGCCUGCCCACCGCUGGUGAGGGACUCCUGGCCCCAACACUUUGCUUCGGCUCUGCUGAUGCCACUCCGUUGUCUCUGUGUCCGUCUGUUCACCAGUGUCACCUGGAGACUGCAUCCCCGUCUGGGGGUCAAGUCCACUUCCGGCUCAGGGAGGCGCCCCGACCCCUUCACUCUGGCGUGGUGCCAUGCCCAGGCGUUCUUCGUCAGGAGCAGCUCCACCCAGGCGCUGGGUCCCCUUGCUCAGUCCCUGCUGCCUUUAUCUUGUGCUAUCUCCUUGUUCGUUUCCUCUGUGAUCUUAUAA